UACGUAGGUGGCGAGCGUUGUUCGGAUUUAUUGGGCGUAAAGGGUCCGCAGGGGGCCCGUUAAGUUAGAUGUGAAAUCCCGGGGCUCAACCCCGGAACUGCAUUUAAAACUGGCGGGCUAGAGUGCUGGAGAGGUAAAUGGAAUUCCAGGUGUAGCGGUGGAAUGCGUAGAUAUCUGGAAGAACACCGAAAGCGAAGGCAGUUUACUGGACAGCAACUGACCCUCAGGGACGAAAGCGUGGGGAGCAAACAGGAUUAGAUACCCUGGUAGUCCACGCCGUAAACGUUGUGAACUUGUUGUGGGGGGAUUUAGCCCCCUCCGUGACGAAGCUAACGCGAUAAGUUCACCGCCUGGGAACUACGGUCGCAAGACUAAA
This 376-nucleotide ribosomal RNA is filed under the name uncultured bacterium. RNAcentral's name for it is "bacterial SSU rRNA". It matches the Rfam family "Bacterial small subunit ribosomal RNA", at positions 524 to 898 of the family's 1533-position model. The record is from RNAcentral.